AAAUAGCCCCGAUUGCAGCGGCAUCCUUUUUCUUUUGAAAAAAGAAAAAGAUAUAGCGGAAAGCGGGACUUCAC
This 74-nucleotide small RNA is filed under the name Halpernia frigidisoli. RNAcentral describes it as "Flavo-1 RNA". It matches the Rfam family "Flavo-1 RNA". The record is from Rfam by way of RNAcentral. Lineage: Bacteria; Pseudomonadati; Bacteroidota; Flavobacteriia; Flavobacteriales; Weeksellaceae.